This 492-nucleotide ribosomal RNA is filed under the name uncultured bacterium. Its description in RNAcentral is "partial 16S ribosomal RNA". It matches the Rfam family "Bacterial small subunit ribosomal RNA", at positions 29 to 507 of the family's 1533-position model. The record is from RNAcentral.
AGUGAACGCUGGCGGUAGGCCUAACACAUGCAAGUCGAACGGCAGCACAGUAAGAGCUUGCUCUUACGGGUGGCGAGUGGCGGACGGGUGAGGAAUACAUCGGAAUCUACUUUUUCGUGGGGGAUAACGUAGGGAAACUUACGCUAAUACCGCAUACGACCUACGGGUGAAAGCAGGGGAUCUUCGGACCUUGCGCGAUUGAAUGAGCCGAUGUCGGAUUAGCUAGUUGGCGGGGUAAAGGCCCACCAAGGCGACGAUCCGUAGCUGGUCUGAGAGGAUGAUCAGCCACACUGGAACUGGGACACGGUCCAGACUCCUACGGGAGGCAGCAGUGGGGAAUAUUGGACAAUGGGCGCAAGCCUGAUCCAGCCAUACCGCGUGGGUGAAGAAGGCCUUCGGGUUGUAAAGCCCUUUUGUUGGGAAAGAAAAGCAGCAGGUUAAUACCCCGCUGUUCUGGCGGUACCCAAAGAAUAAGCACCGGCUAACUUCGUG